CGCUGGCGGCAUGCCUUACACAUGCAAGUCGAACGGCAGCGCGGACUUCGGUCUGGCGGCGAGUGGCGAACGGGUGAGUAAUGUAUCGGAACGUGCCCUAGAGUGGGGGAUAACGUAGCGAAAGUUACGCUAAUACCGCAUACGAUCUACGGAUGAAAGUGGGGGACCGCAAGGCCUCACGCUCAUGGAGCGGCCGAUAUCUGAUUAGCUAGUUGGUAGGGUAAAAGCCUACCAAGGCGACGAUCAGUAGCUGGUCUGAGAGGACGACCAGCCACACUGGGACUGAGACACGGCCCAGACUCCUACGGGAGGCAGCAGUGGGGAAUUUUGGACAAUGGGGGAAACCCUGAUCCAGCAAUGCCGCGUGUGUGAAGAAGGCCUUCGGGUUGUAAAGCACUUUUGUCAGGAACGAAACGGUGGGGGCUAAUAUCCUCUGCUAAUGACGGUACCUGAAGAAUAAGCACCGGCUAACUACGUGCCAGCAGCCGCGGUAAUACGUAGGGUGCGAGCGUUAAUCGGAAUUACUGGGCGUAAAGCGUGCGCAGGCGGUUGUGCAAGACAGAUGUGAAAUCCCCGGGCUUAACCUGGGAAUUGCAUUUGUGACUGCACGGCUAGAGUGUGUCAGAGGGGGGUAGAAUUCCACGUGUAGCAGUGAAAUGCGUAGAUAUGUGGAGGAAUACCGAUGGCGAAGG
RNAcentral lists this ribosomal RNA (692 nucleotides) under Pseudomonadota bacterium. RNAcentral describes it as "bacterial SSU rRNA". It matches the Rfam family "Bacterial small subunit ribosomal RNA", at positions 34 to 721 of the family's 1533-position model. The record is from RNAcentral. Lineage: Bacteria; Pseudomonadati; Pseudomonadota.